Molecule: non-coding RNA, 104 nt
Organism: Polyporus arcularius HHB13444
Lineage: Eukaryota; Fungi; Basidiomycota; Agaricomycetes; Polyporales; Polyporaceae
Source: the annotation of a GenBank genome assembly
GACACUAUAGCCAAGUGGUUAAGGCGACAGAUUAGAAUUUGCACAGCGAUAGUCGAUUUAUCUGUUUCUCUUUGAGAGCGUAGGUUCGAACCCUACUGGUGUCG